This is a long non-coding RNA of Ailuropoda melanoleuca (giant panda), 948 nucleotides long. RefSeq lists it as uncharacterized. The record is from RefSeq and is a predicted model, not a curated record. NCBI's taxonomy places the organism in Eukaryota, Metazoa, Chordata, Mammalia, Carnivora, Ursidae. The transcript has 3 exons.
GGGGGCCAGGACAGUUCUUCACCGAGUUCUCUGCUCAGCGGAGAAGUCUCAGAACACAGUGUCCUCCGCCUUCAAAGUUCACUUCUGGCUCAGGAAACAGCCCUCCCUCCCGCUGUUGUGGUCAUCUCUGUCGACAGCGUUUGGUGUGUGUUUGUGGGGUGUGUCGGGUGAUUUCCCCGCCCGCGUCCCCCUGGGUGCUUCAGGUACUGGAGAUUGCUAACAGCAGAACAGUUGCUCCCCACGGCUGGACGACCGUCUGCGGAGACAAUACCACCGGAUGGCACGCUGCUAACCGUGACCACGUGGCGUCCUCAUGGGCCCAGGGUGUGCUCAGCCUGUCCUCUCUUCCUUCCUCUUCAUUCAAGCCCGGCUCGGGGUGAGCACUGUCUACCCUCAAGCUUCCAUCACCAUGCCCCCUCGUCAGUUCGCAGGACUCCAGGUUCUUUCCAGCACCCCUCCGCAAGAGCUCCUUCUCGAGGCCUGCCGUGAGCCUGGGUUCCUGGACACCGCUGGGAGCCCCGGAGCAGCAAGUGGGACCUGCCAGCCUUGAGAUGAGAAGCCUGAGGAGAAAGCUUUUGACCAAUGGUUGUUGAAUAUUGCCCUCAAAGGUGGCCGCCAGCAGUUCCGCUCAUCGCUGUAUCAAAUACUCCCUUCAAGACUUGGAGUCUGGGGGUGCCUAGCUGGCAGACUCAGUCAGUGAAGCAUGUGGUUCUUGAUCUCACAAGAGUCUGUUUCCCUCCCCCACCCCCUUGACUCUGAACUGGCCUUGUGACUCGCUUAGGCCAAGAGAAUGUGACCAAAGUGAUGCUGUGUGGAUUUUGACCUAAGCCUGUCUUCACUUAAGAGACCUGGCCCCUGGGUCAGCUACUUUUGCAGAAUCCAGAGGAAAUGAAAACGUGGGCCUCUUUGUUGAAAAAGUUAAAAAAAAAAUCAUUAAAGAUACUAAAA